Molecule: ribosomal RNA, 480 nt
Filed under: uncultured Haloferula sp.
Lineage: Bacteria; Pseudomonadati; Verrucomicrobiota; Verrucomicrobiia; Verrucomicrobiales; Verrucomicrobiaceae
Description: bacterial SSU rRNA
Rfam family: Bacterial small subunit ribosomal RNA
Source: RNAcentral
AAUGAACGCUAGCGGCGUGUUUAAGACAUGCAAGUUGAACGGAGAUUACGGUAGUUUACUAUUUGUAAUUUUAGUGGCGGACGGGUGAGUAACACGUGAACUACCUACCCUUAAGUGGAGGACAGUCCUGGGAAACUGGGUUUAAUACUCCAUGUGCUUAUAAGUAAAGAAGCCUUCGGGUUUCGCUUAAGGAUGGGUUCGCGGUCUAUCAGCUAGUUGGUGAGGUAAUGGCUCACCAAGGCGACGACGGAUAGCUGGUCUUAGAGGAUGAUCAGUCACACUGGAACUGAGACACGGUCCAGACACCUACGGGUGGCAGCAGUCGAGAAUAAUUCACAAUGGACGAAAGUCUGAUGGUGCAACGCCGCGUGGAGGAUGACGGUUUUCGGAUUGUAAACUCCUGUCAUUGUAGAGUAAGACUUAGUAGUUAAUACCUGCUAAGUUUGAGAGUAUACAAAGAGGAAGGGACGGCUAACUUCG